Molecule: ribosomal RNA, 460 nt
Filed under: uncultured bacterium
Lineage: Bacteria
Description: partial 16S ribosomal RNA
Rfam family: Bacterial small subunit ribosomal RNA
Source: RNAcentral
CCUACGGGAGGCAGCAGUGAGGAAUAUUGGUCAAUGGGCGCGAGCCUGAACCAGCGAAGUAGCGUGAAGGAUGACUGCCCUACGGGUUGUAAACUUCUUUUAUAAGGGAAUAAAACGAGGCACGUGUGCCUGUUUGCAUGUACUUUAUGAAUAAGGAUCGGCUAACUCCGUGCCAGCAGCCGAGGUAAUACGGAGGAUCCGAGCGUUAUCCGGAUUUAUUGGGUUUAAAGGUGGCGUAGAUGGGUUGUUAAGUCGGUUGUGAAAGUUUGCGGCUCAACCGUAAAAGUGCAAUUGAUACUGGCAGUCUUGAGUACAGGUGAGGUAGGCGGAAUUCGUGGUGUAGCGGUGAAAUGCUUAGAUAUCACGAAGAACCCCGAUUGCGAAGGCAGCUUACUAAACUGUGACUGACAUUGAUGCUCGAAAGUGUGGGUAUCAAACAGGAUUAGAUACCCCAGUAGUC